GUGAUUACUUUGGCAGCACAUAUACUAAAGUUGGAACAAUACAGAGAAGAUUAGUGUGGCCCCUGGGCUAGGAUGAUACUCAGAUUCAUGAAACAUUCCAUAAUUUU
This is a small nuclear RNA of Phodopus roborovskii (desert hamster), 107 nucleotides long. Lineage: Eukaryota; Metazoa; Chordata; Mammalia; Rodentia; Cricetidae. The record is from RefSeq and is a predicted model, not a curated record.